Mus musculus (house mouse) is the source of this 4912-nucleotide RNA transcript. It is a transcript of the gene named POC5 centriolar protein, with no coding region annotated. The transcript has 14 exons. Lineage: Eukaryota; Metazoa; Chordata; Mammalia; Rodentia; Muridae. The record is from RefSeq and is marked validated.
AAUCAAGUUUAAGAUUGCUGAAGCUGUGGACCAAUAGUUAGGGCUGUCUUUCAUCAGGGCCCUCAGUUUGAAACUGUCAAGUGGCUGCUAGGGGAGCCGCUGUGCUUGCUUUGGUUGCGGCGGCGACGCCGUCUGUCGCAGCGAGUCAGGAGCCGAGGUUUCGCCGAGACGGUGGAUCCCGGUGGCGGCGCCCAGGCCGGUUCCUCCCUGGCAGGAUUGGGAGCAUCGUCCCUGGAGGUGCCAGAAAGAGAAGACACAAGUGAUGCGAACUAAAUGAGUAAAUCCAUAGGAGCCCAGGGAUACUGACUCCUGCGUGCCCACAAACCCGAUGCUCCAGAGGCAACCUCAUGCCGGCACAGCUGGUACUGAACUUGCUGACCUUCCAGUUCCAUUGUGCUACCGUCCUUGCUUCGUGUUUGCAGAAUGUCAUCUGAUGAGGACAAGUGUUCACUUCAUGUGGCUCACAAUGACUCUGACCGUUCUGUCUCCACAGACCUUCAGGAGGAGUAUGAAGAGCUGCUUCGCUAUGCUAUUGUGAAUCCAAAUGUUGAAUGCAGUGCUUCGCAGCCAUCUCACCUUAGAGGAGAAGUGGCACCGGAUAGAUUCCCUACGCUAGCUGGAAAUAACCCUGUAAGAGACACUGAACUGGAAGUGGGAAAAGGAUCCGAUUUAAAUAUUUCAAGCCAUUCAAAAUCAGGGUCACCCAGGAAGCCAUCUCACCCAGUCAUGGACUUUUUCAGCUCACAUGUUUUAGGUGACUCUUCCUCGCCAGCCUCUCUUUCUACUCGGACAGAUGCCCAUGAAAUAAAUGGGGGGGAGCAUCUCGUCUCUGAUGAAAAUUUUCAGAAGUUGGAGAAUAUACUUGAUAUCUGGAGUUCAGGUCUUAAGACGAACGUUUUGUCUGAGCUGAGUAAGUGGAGGCUGAACUUUAUCGACUGGCACCGAAUGGAGAUGAAGAAGGAGAAGGAAAAGCAUGCGGUGGUCGUGAAGCAGCUGUCAAACCAGAUCUCGGACCUGAAGGAGCUGCAGAAAGCCUUUGAGAUCUCCAUCGGGAGAAAGGAUGAGGUGAUUUCCAACCUGUCUCGUGCCAUCGGCAAGCAAAAGGAGAGGAUAGAGUUAAUGAAAAGCUUCUUCCGCUGGAGGAUCGGCCAUGUCAAAUCCAGACAGGAAAUUUAUGAAGGUAAACUGGCUGACCAGUACUUUCAGAGAACUUUGCUGAAGAAAGUCUGGAAGGGCUGGCGCUCUGUGGUACAGAGGCAGUGGAAAGAUGUGGUGGAACGUGCGUGCCAAGCGAGGGCUGAAGAAGUAUGUGUGCAGAUCUCCAAUGAUUAUGAAGCCAGACUAGCUAUGUUAUCUGGAGCUUUGGAAAAUGCAAAGGCUGAGAUUCAAAAAAUGCAGCAGGAAAAAGACCAUUUCGAAGACUCCAUGAAGAAAGCAUUCAUGCGGGGAGUGUGUGCAUUAAAUCUGGAGGCCAUGACCAUAUUUCAGAACAAAAAUGAGGCAGGGAUAGACUUCACAAAUAAUAAAAAGGAAGAGAGUGGCCCUGGCGGUCCCGGAAGAGAGCCUUCUGCUCACUUGGAUACUUCUUCGUCCACGAUGCCGUCAGCAGUUCCGUCACAGCUGCUGCCCUCUGGACCAUUAGCAGCAGGAGUAGCCAGUGCCACUGCCUUUCCCUCCGCUGCUUCCCUGACCUCGGCCGGAGCUACAUCGGCCUCUUCUCUUCACGUUCCCAUCUCUAUUCUCAGUGCAGGAUCUGCAGCUGCUCCUGCCCCAGAGGAAUCGAACAAAAACACGUAAUGAUGCCACUUGGGAUAAAAGUCAUGACACAGACAGUGGUUGGUGAUGAAGGAUGCAUGCGAUGAGCGAGAGGAGGGGACAUGGGCAGAAGGUGACAUGUUUGAUGGAAUAAUUACAUGUGGAAUGGAAAGAAUUGCAUGCAAUAAAAUGGCGCAGCCAUGUGUACACAGGCCUGGUACCUGGUGUCCGUGUGGUUUUCCUUCAGUACGCACCAAGAGUCGUGACCGCAGCCCAGCAGAAAGCUGGGAAGACAAUUACAGCCCGGAUCACAGGUCGGUCUGAUUUUGGUUCCAAAGCUAGAAUCAACAGCAGUUUGGCGAUAAUGGGAGUCUCUCCUCCCAUGGGCUCAGUCGUUGUGGAGAAACAUCAUCCAGUCACAGUGCAAACCAUUCCUCAGGCAACUGCUGCCAAGUACCCACGGACCAUCCAUCCUGAAAGCAGCAUCUCCGCUUCUAGGUCUCUCGGAGCCAGGCCGGGCCACGCCCAGUCUCUCUCAGUUCAGUCGAUAAAAGUGGUUGACUAGAGGGGCUGUGUUCACACUCAUGGCUAUGAGUCCUCUGAUAAGGACUUUCCUGGGAGCAGCAAGCUUCUUGGUUUUGACUUUUCUGUACUGUCAGAGCAUCAUGGACAUAUCAUGUGCAUCUUCUCAGAAUUACAAGAGACUUCCCCAUCCUUUGUAACUGUAUGUAUAGAUUAUUUUAAUGUUAUUUUUAUUUAAACAAUUAAGUAGAACUUUUUAAUUAAAACAAACAAAAAAACCUUGGUUCUAAGCAUGUACAGCCUGCCAGUGAUUGCCAUUGUGGAAGAAUAUAAAUCUUUUCUGGACAUUAUUUCCAAAAGGAAAUCAUUUCCAUUGUUGCUGGGCAGUAAUUUACAUAGAGCUUUGGAAGGGACUUUACUUUCAUUACUAAAACUAAUAGAAGGUCUUUUAACUUUUAAAUAAAGACCAAGAGUAGCAGUGACAUUUCUAACCAGAGCUUUCCUGCCUUCGCUGUAUGGGCCUUCAUCCCUCAGGCUCUGGAAUUAAACACGGAGGGAAACAAACAACAUCUGUAAAUAUUCAUAAGGCUAAAAGGGAAGAAAGUUUCUAAUUAGCACCAAAACAGAAAGGAAUUCCCUGCUGGAAUAAGCCUGCUUUCAUUUCUCUUGCCUGUCUCACUGAGCCUGCCUAGUUCUUUUUGCUCAUCCACACAUGUGCUGCAGAGGAGUGGCGCUUUGAGACAGCAGACAUGGGUAAGCUUAAUGGCCAGCCAGUGUGAAUAGACUUGCUAGGCCAGGCCUGAUGCUGCAUGGUUUUUAUCCCACCACGGGGGAUCUCUGUGAGGCCAGCCUGAUCUACAGAGUGAGGUCUGUCUCAGAAAGAAGAAAGCAAGCAUCUAUGCAGAGCUGACGUAGGAGAAAAAGCUUCUUCGUGGCUUUCUUGCUGGCUGUGUUCUCUUAAGCCAGACAUUUUAAUAAAUGGAUUUCAAGGUCCUCAUCUGUGAUGUAAGUAGAAUAUUUGUCUCUUCCCUGUGUGACACCGUCCAUCUGGGUCUCUACUUCCAGACAUGAGUGGGUUUGGUCAUCUGAAGCCUCUACCAACUCGAGUGUGAGCUACUUCUGUGCUCUAUUUAUUAUAAAAAGCCAUUUUUCUUGCUGCCUCAUACUUCAAGGAGAGACUAAAUGUAAUGUAGGCAGACAUGAUUACAUUUUAUAAUGAUUACUUAAGGCUAUUCUGAAUUAUAGGUGUAUCAGGCAGUGGCCCAGCUACUACUCUAGCAAAAGCUCAUGUGAUUUUAGUGACCAGCCAGCAGCAACACCUCCUCUUACACCUUCCAUGUGGGCACGCUCUCCAGAAGUGCUCUGCCCACCCAGGAAAGCCAGAAGGAACAGUAUAUGGAUUGGUGAGAUGGCUCAGCAGUUAAAAAUACUGGAUGCUCUUCCAGAGGUCCUGAGUUCAAUUCCCAGCAACAACAUGAUAGCACACUAUCAUCUGUAAAGGGAUCUGAUGCCCUCUUCUGUCAUGUAGGUGUACAUGCGGACAGCACCCUUACGUUUAAAUAAUAAAUAUAUAAUUUUAAAAAAAAAAGGUAGGCUCCCCUAAGAAACCACUCCUGUGAUCCAGAAUCAAAGCCCCACUGUGUGGAGCUCAGGACCACUAAGCACAUGCUGCUCCUGCAGAGGACCCCAGUUCAGGUCCCAGCGCCCACUUGGCAGCUUUAAACCAUCUGUAACUCCAGUUCCAGAAACCUCAACACCCUCUCCUGGCCCCUGCAGGCACCAGGCAUGCGUGUGUACAUACGUACAUACAUGCAGACAGAACACUCACACAUACUUAAUCUUUAAAACACGGUGACGAAUGCAUCAACCCAUCCUCCUCCUCCACCCCUCCCUGUAUGAACCGCCCUGCGGCGAUGCGUUAAUCCAUCCCAUCUCAGAACAGAACGUCCUUAGGAUCAGAUAGCCAAAGUUGACACAGGUGGCCCAUCCUCACCUUGCUUCUCCUGGCAUCUUGCCUAUUUUCUACAGAAACCUUGGUUUAAGCUCAGACCUAGAUUUAGUAUGCAAGCCAAGUCAUAAAGACAUCCUAAUGUAAGCUGAUGUAACUGGGACUAUUGCAGGCAUCAUGUAACUAAAAGUACCACGUGUUGUCUAAAUCACAAAAUAAUUCACAAUGGCCUGGGUCAAAGAACAUUAAGUUUGAUGAUAAAACACUCUAGAGUCUGCGUGGGUGUCUAGUUUACAUAUGGAGGAGAAUGCUGCCCAUGGUCAGUGGAAACUGGCCGGGCUGAGCAACAGACUGAGGAGAGACUUUAAAUUCUGAAUCUUGUGAAUACAUUGCCUCUUUUAAACAUUUCUAGCAAUAAGUGGGCCACUUAUAAUCAAUGUAAGAAAAACUGGAAACUGUACAUUCAUGAUAGAUAACUAAAUUGUCCUUGAUUUUCUUACCAGCUUUUCCAGACCAGGAGUCAGAACUGGACUCCAGGCAGGCUUACAAUGAUACAACGAACAACUGGUACAUUUUGUAACUUUCUCAGAUUAAUGCUUGUUUGUUCUGAACAAAAUAGACUGUACCAGAAAGAACAAAGAAUUAAAAUUACCCACACUUAAAAGAGUAUGAAGGGUUUAAGAAUCA